This 466-nucleotide ribosomal RNA is filed under the name uncultured bacterium. RNAcentral's name for it is "partial 16S ribosomal RNA". It matches the Rfam family "Bacterial small subunit ribosomal RNA", at positions 28 to 507 of the family's 1533-position model. The record is from RNAcentral.
GACGAACGCUGGCGGCGCGCCUAACACAUGCAAGUCGAACGAGCGAGAGAGAGCUUGCUUUCUCGAGCGAGUGGCGAACGGGUGAGUAACGCGUGAGGAACCUGCCUCAAAGAGGGGGACAACAGUUGGAAACGACUGCUAAUACCGCAUAAGCCCACGGCUCGGCAUCGAGCAGGGGGAAAAGGAGCAAUCCGCUUUGAGAUGGCCUCGCGUCCGAUUAGCUAGUUGGUGGGGUAACGGCCCACCAAGGCGACGAUCGGUAGCCGGACUGAGAGGUUGAACGGCCACAUUGGGACUGAGACACGGCCCAGACUCCUACGGGAGGAAGCAGUGGGGAAUAUUGCACAAUGGGGGAAACCCUGAUGCAGCGACGCCGCGUGGAGGAAGAAGGUCUUCGGAUUGUAAACUCCUGUUGUUGGGGAAGAUAAUGACGGUACCCAACAAGGAAGUGACGGCUAACUACGUG